RNAcentral lists this ribosomal RNA (500 nucleotides) under uncultured Glomeromycotina. RNAcentral's name for it is "partial small subunit ribosomal RNA". It matches the Rfam family "Eukaryotic small subunit ribosomal RNA", at positions 591 to 1092 of the family's 1831-position model. The record is from RNAcentral. Lineage: Eukaryota; Fungi; Glomeromycota.
CCAAUAGCGUAUAUUAAAGUUGUUGCAGUUAAAAAGCUCGUAGUUGAAUUUCGGGGUCAGUAGAUUGGUCGUGCCACUGGUAUGUACUGGUCUUACUGGCUCCUCCUUCCUGAUGAACCGUAAUGCCAUUAAUUUGGUGUUGCGGGGAGACUGGACUGUUACUUUGAAAAAAUUAGAGUGUUUAAAGCAGGCUAACGCUUGAAUACAUUAGCAUGGAAUAAUGAAAUAGGACGUUCGAUCUUAUUUUGUUGGUUUCUAGGAUUGACGUAAUGAUUAAUAGGGAUAGUUGGGGGCAUUAGUAUUCAAUUGUCAGAGGUGAAAUUCUUGGAUUUAUUGAAGACUAACUACUGCGAAAGCAUUUGCCAAGGAUGUUUUCAUUAAUCAAGAACGAAAGUUAGGGGAUCGAAGACGAUCAGAUACCGUCGUAGUCUUAACCAUAAACUAUGCCGACUAGGGAUCGGAUGAUGUUAAUUUUUUAAUGACUCAUUCGGCGCCUUACG